UCCACUGCCCCAGCUUCCUCCGCCUAAACGCUGGCAGUGACCGGGGCGGCCGAAGAAAAUGGCGCCCCCCCCCCAAAUCCUAGCGCCCUAGGUGACCGCCUAUGUCGCCUAAAUGGUUGCACUGGCCCUGGGUGACUCCCUCACACCAUGUGCCCCAGGACCACGCAUCGCAGGCGUGUGGCUGUCCCUGCAGGGGGGAUCCGUAGGAGGGCAGGAGUCGCUGCGUGCUCUUCUCUACUCUGUGCGCCCACACAGGAGCAGUCCGAAUCUGUCUUGCGGGGGAUCCCAGAGUACAAGGUGGUCUGAGAUCUGUUCCAGGCACCGAAUGUGUUUCUGGGAAGGUGUUAUUUUUAAACAUGUUGUCACUGCCUCCACUGAGACACUCUCUUCCCGGCUUUCUGCUCCUGGAACAGGCACUCUUCCUGCCCCCUGCUCACCCCAAAAAAACAUGUUUGAGUAAGAAAGUGUUGGAGCGAGCAUGUUUUGAAAAUUACCUUGUGUUUCAGCAGCAAUGUGGACUCCAAUCAAAGUUUUCUGAUGUCUGAGCCUCCUGAGUAUUCCACACACCUAACCAGUAAACAGUGAGCUAAUGACCUGGCCAUCCUGUUCAAACAGUUCAUUAUAGGUGUCUGGGGAAGGGUAAAAUUCUGGAGGCCCUGACACUGAAUCCCGUAAGAUCCUAAAGUUUCCGGUGUAUGGAUGCCUAGGGAUCUAAGCAUCGCUCUGGAAUCCUUCAAGGUGUGCAGCACCUCAUUGUUUUUUGCUGCAAAUAACUUCUCGCCAUCAAAGGGAAGAUCCUCCACGGUGUUUUGAAUCUUGCGUGGGAAAGAAGAAGAGGUAAAUCAUGAAGCCUGACGCAUCACUACGGCCGUCACAGUGGACCUGGCAGAUGUGUCCGCAGCAUCAAGGGCAGCCUGCAAUGCCGUGCGGGAAAUAAUCUGCCCUUCAGAGGGUAUUGCUUUAAAUUGGUGUCUCUUGUCCUCUGGGACGUCAUUAAGUCCAUGAGUUUCCUGUAAUUUCUGUGAUCAUAUUUGGCCAGUCGGGCCACAUAGUUUGCCACUCUAAAUUAUAGCGUGGUUGAUGCAUAAACUUUGUGGCCGAGUA
Long non-coding RNA from Trachemys scripta elegans, 1104 nucleotides. RefSeq lists it as uncharacterized. The record is from RefSeq and is a predicted model, not a curated record. The transcript is spliced from 2 exons. Lineage: Eukaryota; Metazoa; Chordata; Testudines; Emydidae.